Camelina sativa (false flax) is the source of this 551-nucleotide long non-coding RNA. RefSeq lists it as uncharacterized. The record is from RefSeq and is a predicted model, not a curated record. NCBI's taxonomy places the organism in Eukaryota, Viridiplantae, Streptophyta, Magnoliopsida, Brassicales, Brassicaceae.
GCGCACGACAAAGUCUGACUUUAACACAAAUCCGCGCAAAUAUAUAAAAGAGAAUCCAAUGUUUUUUCUCAAAUCCUCUGCAUUGCGUUUCUUCGGGCAUUGUUGACUUUACAUUUACAAGUCUCUCCGGAUCGCCACCGUUUCAACCAUGACUCGUGGAAGUCAGAGAGAGCGUGACCGUGAAAGAGCCGCGGCUCGUGCUGGAGGUAAGGGUAAGAACGCUGACGAUGGUCUGACCCCUGAGCAACGUCGUGAAAGAGAUGGGAAAGCAUUGCAAGAGAAGGCGGCUAAGAAAGCUGCUCAAGCUGCAGGUGCGAGUUCUGGUGGUGGAGCUGGAGGCAAAGCAGCUGCUAAGAAGUGAUUAUAAUCCUUUGGUUUGUCUAUUGAGCCAUAUUGUAGACUUUUUUAUGUUUUGAAAUUUGGGUCAUUUAGAUCUGAGCUUUGACUCUUGUCUGAAUUCCCAUUUAUGCUGUCUCUCUGUGUUGAAAUUGCAAGUUGAUGCUUAUGGUGAAAUCUUAUUUGAUCUUUAUUUGAUCUGGUAUUAUGAAGUA